GGGAGGCUGCAGUAGGGAAUCUUCCACAAUGGGCGCAAGCCUGAUGGAGCAACGCCGCGUGUGUGAUGAAGGCUUUCGGGUCGUAAAGCACUGUUGUAUGGGAAGAAAUGCUAAAAUAGGGAAUGAUUUUAGUUUGACGGUACCAUACCAGAAAGGGACGGCUAAAUACGUGCCAGCAGCCGCGGUAAUACGUAUGUCCCGAGCGUUAUCCGGAUUUAUUGGGCGUAAAGCGAGCGCAGACGGUUGAUUAAGUCUGAUGUGAAAGCCCGGAGCUCAACUCCGGAAUGGCAUUGGAAACUGGUUAACUUGAGUGUUGUAGAGGUAAGUGGAACUCCAUGUGUAGCGGUGGAAUGCGUAGAUAUAUGGAAGAACACCAGUGGCGAAGGCGGCUUACUGGACAACAACUGACGUUGAGGCUCGAAAGUGUGGGUAGCAAACAGGAUUAGAUACCCUGGUAGUCCACACCGUAAACGAUGAAUACUAGGUGUUAGGAGGUUUCCGCCUCUUAGUGCCGAAGCUAACGCAUUAA
RNAcentral lists this ribosomal RNA (529 nucleotides) under Leuconostoc citreum. RNAcentral describes it as "bacterial SSU rRNA". It matches the Rfam family "Bacterial small subunit ribosomal RNA", at positions 343 to 863 of the family's 1533-position model. The record is from RNAcentral. Lineage: Bacteria; Bacillati; Bacillota; Bacilli; Lactobacillales; Lactobacillaceae.